GGCUCCAUAGUGUAGUUGUUAGCACAUACGCUUUACACGCAGAAGUCCUAGGUUCGCGCUCCAGGUGGAGCCA
RNAcentral lists this transfer RNA (73 nucleotides) under Pteropus alecto (black flying fox). It matches the Rfam family "tRNA". From Rfam's summary of the family: Transfer RNA (tRNA) molecules are approximately 80 nucleotides in length. Their secondary structure includes four short double-helical elements and three loops (D, anti-codon, and T loops). Further hydrogen bonds mediate the characteristic L-shaped molecular structure. tRNAs have two regions of fundamental functional importance: the anti-codon, which is responsible for specific mRNA codon recognition, and the 3' end, to which the tRNAs corresponding amino acid is attached (by aminoacyl-tRNA synthetases). tRNAs cope with the degeneracy of the genetic code in two manners: having more than one tRNA (with a specific anti-codon) for a particular amino acid; and 'wobble' base-pairing, i.e. permitting non-standard base-pairing at the 3rd anti-codon position. RNAcentral also lists the same sequence under 1 other name. Lineage: Eukaryota; Metazoa; Chordata; Mammalia; Chiroptera; Pteropodidae. The record is from Rfam by way of RNAcentral.